AGCGAACAGGAUUAGAUACCCUGGUAGUCCACGCCGUAAACGAUGAUCACUAGCUGUUGGCGAUACAGUGUCAGCGGCAAAGCGAAAGCAUUAAGUGAUCCACCUGGGGAGUACGGCCGCAAGGUUGAAACUCAAAGGAAUUGACGGGGGCCCGCACAAGCGGUGGAACAUGUGGUUUAAUUCGAUGAUACGCGAGGAACCUUACCUGGGCUUAAAUGUUGGGUGCAUUCCCGGGAAACCGGGAUUCCCUUCGGGGCUUCCAACAAGGUGCUGCAUGGUUGUCGUCAGCUCGUGCCGUGAGGUGUCGGGUUAAGUCCCAUAACGAGCGCAACCCCUAUCGUUAGUUGCCAUCGGGUCAUGCCGGGGACUCUAGCGAAACUGCCGGUGUAAACCGCGAGGAAGGUGGGGAUGACGUCAAAUCAGCACGGCCCUUAUGCCCAGGGCUACACACGUGUUGCAAUGGCCGGUACAGAGGGCAGCUACCUGGUGACAGGGUGCAAAUCUCGAAAGCCGGUCCUAGUUCGGAUUGGAGUCUGCAACUCGACUUCAUGAAGCUGGAAUCGCUAGUAAUCGCGCAUCAGCCAUGGCGCGGUGAAUACGUUCCCGGGCAUUGUACACACCGCCCGUCAAGCCAUGGAAGCCGGGGGUACCUGAAGUCUGCA
Molecule: ribosomal RNA, 662 nt
Filed under: uncultured organism
Description: bacterial SSU rRNA
Rfam family: Bacterial small subunit ribosomal RNA
Source: RNAcentral